GGGGGGAGCAAGCGUUGUUCGGAUUUACUGGGCGUAAAGGGCGCGUAGGCGGCCACCGCAAGUCGACUGUGAAAUCUCCGGGCUUAACUCGGAAAGGUCAGCCGAUACUGCGGGGCUAGAGUGCAGAAGGGGCAACUGGAAUUCUCGGUGUAGCGGUGAAAUGCGUAGAUAUCGAGAGGAACACCUGCGGCGAAGGCGGGUUGCUGGGCUGACACUGACGCUGAUGUGCGAAAGCUAGGGGAGCGAACGGGAUUAGAUACCCCGGUAGUCCUAGCCUUAAACGAUGAAUGCUUGGUGUCUGGGGUUUUAUAGUCCCCGGGUGCCGUCGCUAACGCUUUAAGCAUUCCGCCUGGGGAGUACGGUCGCAAGACUG
RNAcentral lists this ribosomal RNA (373 nucleotides) under uncultured bacterium. RNAcentral describes it as "bacterial SSU rRNA". It matches the Rfam family "Bacterial small subunit ribosomal RNA", at positions 527 to 896 of the family's 1533-position model. The record is from RNAcentral.